UGGAUCCCACAUUGCUGUGGCUGUGGUGUAGGCCAGCAGCUGUAGCUCCAAUUCAACCCCUAGCCUGGGGACUUCCAUAUGCCAUGGGUGUGGCCAUAAAAAUAAGCUUUCUUUCCCUCCUCACAUAAAGGGAGAAUAAUAUUCAUGUACUUUAAAGAACAUGGACCUCUUGGAAUGCAAACUUCUGCAUUUUCAAAAUAUGACACUGAGUAUAGACCCGUAAGAUAAACAGCUGCCAGAAUUAUAGAAUCUUAGAGGUCACUUAAUUUCUUAGCCUCCUGAGAAGCAGACCCUAGAAUCUCUGGGCAGUAGUUUCCCAGGCUCAUCAGCACCUAGGAUGGAGAUGCAUGAUGCAUUAUCCUUCCUUGUCUCUGAUUCAGAACCUUCUCCACACUUAGUCUUACACCUGAAAUCCUUGUAAUGCUUUGGAAUUGCAGAUGCGUGUAGCUGAGCUUUGUUUGGCUAUUUCUGGAUAUAAGUGUUAGGGAAAGAAAAAAAAGAAAGAAAGCCAUAAAAACACAACAUGCAGUUUAAAUAAAGAAAAAUGAGUUUUACUUCCAAGAGAGCUUUUGCCAUUUUCUUAAUGCUUAUUCUUCUUUGGAGAGCUCAUUAUUGAACGGAGUGUGUCGGUAGUUUACCAUGGUGAAUGUGUCUUGUCCGGGCCAGGGGAUGCAUUAGAGCACUGAUAAAGGCCAGAGGAGAGGGCAGAACUGUACCUAAAUUACCCCCAGAUAGUUGCCAAGCCAUUCUACUUUUUUAAAGACCUCCAGAGAGCCUUCCUAUUCGCCUCUAGUUUCCCUUUUCUGUGUUUAAUAACCUCUGCUGUCAGGAAUGUCUUCCUCAUAUUUAACCCAGUUUUCCCUUGCCACAGUUCAAUCCCAUUUCUCUUGUUGUCCUUGGUGGUGACAGAAUAGCAGGUCAUUAUCUUCUUAAUAGUAUCCUUAAUGUGGAAGUUUCCCCUAAGCCUGCUCUUCCCCCAGAGAAAUAAAGAUACUCCUGUUCUCCUCCUCCCCUGCCCCGUCCUCUUCUCCAGGGUCCUAUUUGGAACAUAAUCUUUGGCAUUUUGCUCUUGCGUGCCUGAUCCAAAUAAUCACAUCAGGCCUGUCUUGAGACAUCUGUUGAUUCCAUCUGUAUUCAAAGAGCAAGGUUCUUGUCACCUCCUUUGCUCUCAGUUCAUUCGACUUGACUGCUGCCUGCUGCCCUCCCUCCAGGUGUGAGGUGCCACCCUAGAGGCUGAAGGGGACAUGUGGAGGAGUUCCUGUCUCUGACUUCCACCUGGGAGGAGGGACGAGGACACUUCUUGCCCCUCCUGGCCCUUCUGAUAGUCCAUGGAUUAUGCCUGCUGGCUUUUUCUUUUCCACAAAAACAUUUGAUUCUGAUUGACCUUUUGGGACAUUUUGGGUUUCUGUUGACCUCAUCCUCAGAACGAUAUGGCACAGCAGUAAAGUUGGCAUUAUCCUCUUACAAGCCCUCUCCUCACACUUGAUUCAGUUUUAUAGGUGCUGCAAGGGAAGUUGGAACACACAAACUUUGCUGUGUAAGUGAUGAGUGAACAUGUCUUUCCAGUCAGACUCUGUGUGGUCCCCAUGAAGGGGGGAGAUUGAUCUUUGUAUAUCUCCAGCUCUUAGCAGAAAUGCCCGACACGUUUUAAACAGACUUCACAACUGUUGGUUGGUUGUCAAACGAGGUAUUGGGAAAUUGACUUCACUUUGUUUUCUUAGGUUUUAUUUUACUCAGUUCUUAAUUAGUGCUGGGUGAGUUUUUCAAGGAUAUGCAUUAUCCAGAUGCGUGGCUCGCUCUCCGGUCUCUCUCCUAUUUUACUGCCCACCAAGAUUCAUAUCAAGGGGUGUCUGGAGCCAAAAGUGAUUCAAAGAAGUCAUUCUAACUUCUGGUGGGAAGUGAGGUGAGCAGUGUAGUUAAGAGAGCCAGUGUGAAUGAGAGCUGACACUUCUUACUCAUGUCAUUGUCUGAUGAGUGGAGUCGAAGAGUCUCUGCUUUCUGUAAAUUUUUAAUGGCCGCUCAUGUUUGGAUGAUAACUGAAAUAUUAUCCAGUGAAAUCACUGCUCUGAUCCUUCCACUGCCUUUGUGGAAUCUGUGUCAAGGGACUAUCUUGGUUUUCACACUGCAGAUCCCACUUUCUCCCAGGCUGGCUGGCCCAUGCGCUCUUUGGUUGUUCUGUUGGGCUGUGCUGUGGUGAUCUUGAUUCCUGUACUUCCAUUUGCUGGUCCUCCUUUUUCCUCUUGGGGUCACACGGAACAGAACCUAAUUCCGACACUUGGCAGCCUUUCACAUCUUUGAAAGAUGUCCCUCUGUAUGCACCCACUUAUGUAUGACAUGAUUUGGUCCCUGUUGGGUCCCUACCUAACUACUGCACUUGGGUGACUAUAGCAUGUGGGUCUCUCAAACCUCUAGUAAUAGGUCAAGUCUCCAAGCUGUCUGAGGCUAAGCUACCUCCUGUCAAAUAGUUGCCUCAUGUGGAUUCAGCUGCACUUGGUUUACUUCAAAAUAAUAUUCCUUAAACAGGUAUUUUUUGAGUAUUUACCAUGUGUCAGCACUGGGGGUACACUGGGUAUAGUGGAGAGCAAAAUAACCAGAUUUCUGUCCUCAAUAUAGUGAGAGGUUAGACCAAAUAUCCAUUACGUAUGUGUCUGUGUCUGUGUAAUGUAUCAUUGCAAAUUGUAAAGGUUGAGUGCUGCUUAUUGUCUGGUGACCCAAAUCAGGUACAGCUGCGAACAAGCUCCCUAGCCAGAUGGGGCCACUGGCUCAGCCCUGAAGAUGGGCAGGGCCACUGGCUGGGAUGUCUGUGCGGGUACCUCUGUGAGCAGGAAUGUGAUCUUGGGAGCCUGGUUGUUGUUGGUGUCGCCCCCUUCUCUGUCUCUAUUUGAUCUCUAGCUGUUGAGCCUUACAGAUUAUCUGAAUGAUCCCCCAUAAGAUGAGACCCAAUUGGGCCUCCCAAGAUGUGUCUGCCAAUGCUGCGGGAGCUGGAUGUCCACCUUGGGCUCUCAUUAUCCCCCUGAAGAAACUGCAGGCCUAGGGAGCCCUCUGGGUGAGGUGCUGUGCCGCCUGGGGGAGGGGCGAUGAGGUCCGAGUGUAACUGCUCCUCCUGCCCUUCUAAUGUGGUCCUUCUUGGUCCAGGAGGGUGCUUCAGCCUCAUCCCUGGGUUCUGAGAGUUUCAUAAUGGUGUCUUGUCUAUGGUUAGUUGCUAGUCGGUCUUUUUGUGAGGGGGACUGAAGUUGGGAACAACCCAUGUCUCCUUCUUUUUUGUUUUGCUUUUUUUUAGGGCUGCAUGUGUGGCAUAUGGAGGUUCCCAGACCAGGGGUCUAAUCAGAGCUGCAGCUGCCAGCCUUUGCCACAGCCACUGCAAUGUGGGAUCAGCCAAGUCUGUGACCUACACCAUAGCUCAUGGUGAUGCCAGAUCCUUAACCACUGAGUUGAGGGGCCAGGGACCGAACCCGUGCCUCCAUGGAUACUAGUCGAGUUUGUCAUCACAGAGCUACAACGGGAACAACCUGUGUCUCCUUCUUGAUGACAUUACUGUUUUUUUUUGGUGUGUGUUUUGUGGGAUAGACCUGAACUGAUUUAAGUGCUGAGAGACAGGUUGAAGAGAAGAUACUGAAGAGCAGAAGGAGUACUGGGAUACAGAGCACAGGGAUUAGCCUGAAAGAGAAGCAGAAAUAGCUGUACCCUGUAAUGCGAGGGCUGGAAGAGAGAACUGGUGCUGACAGUGAAGUGUAUAGGCUUGGUGAAGAGAAGUGGGAAAGUCUUCUACUUUGUAAUGAUUUAUCUGCUUAGAGCGAAUGGGAGGUGGAAGGAUUGGAGGCUUGAGUUAAGUAGUGCACAGGCCAUUAAGAAGAGAGAACUGACUAUAGGAAAACACGGAAGUUAACGCAGUGCUCAGUUAAAGGUGGAAGCUCAUGAAUUUAUAGUGGCAACAAUCUGUGCGUUUCGGUGAUUCUCCCCAGAAGUGCUUCACUGCCCAUGUAUAUGCACAUUUUUAAAAAUUAUUUUUUGUUGAGAUGUAACUCACAUAUUAAAAAAGUCUCCACUUUAUAGUAUAUAAUGCAGUGACUUUUAGCAUAGUCACAUUUUUAUUAUCCCAGAAAGAAACUGUGUACCCCUUUAGCCAUCACUUCUCUUUCUCUCCUCCCCCUUGCCUUGGAAAUACUAAUCUUCCUAUGUCUUUGGAUAUAUCUAUUAUGGACUUUUCAUUUAAAUGGAGUCAUAAAGUAAGUGGCCCUUGGCAUCUGGUAUCUGGUAUUUUGCUUAGCAUAAUGUUUUCAAGGUUUGUCCACUUUGCAGCAUGCAUCAGUACAUCAUUCCUUUUUAUGGCUGGAUCACAUUCCAUUGAAUGGAUAUACCACAGUUUAUCCAUUCAUCAGUUAAUGGACAUUUGGUUUGUUCUUACUAUUUGGCUAUUAUGAAUAGUGCUACUGCAAAGAUUCAUGGACAAGCUGUUACAUGGACAUAUAUAUUUUCAAUUAUCUUCGGACUAUACGUAGGAGUAGAAUUGCUAGGCCAUAUGGAAACCUGUGAAGUUCUUGAGGACCAUAUAAACUGCACCAUUUUGCAUUUCCACCAGUAACAUGUGAGUAUUCCAAUUUCCCUACAUCUUUGCCAACACUUGUUACUGUCAGUCUCUGUUAUUAUAGCCAUCCUAGUGGGUGUGAAGUGAUAUUUCCUUUCAAGUGAGCACUUGGCUUGACCCAUGGUUGGGCUUUUUCUAGAAGACUCAGUGGUGAAAAAAAAGGUUAUAUGUUUGAGAAUGAAGACAAAUGGAUGAUUGAAGUGAUGGGUCAUGCAGUGAAAUACAGAAAUGUGCAGGACCCAUGGGAGGGAUACCAUAACUUCACCCCUCACUACACUAAAGGGUGUAAAGGAGGCCUUAUAUUAACAAAGGGCUCAGUAUUGAUCUCAGAAAUAUUACAUGUAAGUGAAAUGUAACUCCAGCAAAAUUGCCAAUGAACACUUUUUGCUAAAAUAGUUACAAAUUUCAACUGGAACUAUAAAUGCAUAUGAAUGCCUGGGAUGUAUUUGGAGGAAAAAAAUAUAUUUGAAGAAAAAAAAGAACAAAAAUGAUGAGAACAUAUAUACCAGAUACUAAAACAUAUUGUAAAGUUAGUGAGCAGUGUGGUCUUAGCAUUCGAAAAAGCCAAUGGAUAGGUGGAAAAGAAGAGAAGAGCCAAGUUCACAUGGGAAUUUAUUGUAAGACAAAGAUGACAUUGUAUCAUCAGAAGUGAAAGGAUGGUUAAUUUUAUAAAUGGUGUUGGGGUGACUAUAUUAAAAAAGUAAUGUCCCCAUCUCACACAGCAUAGCAAAAUAAAUUAGUGCUAGAGUAAAUAUGUAUGAGGAUCCCUGUGUCCACAGAACAUUAGAAGGGAGACUUAGGCAGUUGUGGGGGGUUAGAUUUUGUGGAAUGGUAGGGAGAGCAGAGAUACAAGGAAGAAGGUCAUGUCAGGAUGCACAGGAAAGAGGGCUAUGUGAGGAUACACAGAGAAGGUGGACCAGGCAGAGACACACUGAAGGGAGGCCAGUGGAGAAGGUCACGAAGACGUGAAGGUGGAGAUUGGUGUGAUGCAGCUGUAAACUGGGGAACACCAAGAAUUGCUGGAGGCCACCAGAAACUAGGAAACUGCAAAGGAAGGAUUCUUUCCUACAGUUUUCAGGGAGAGAAUGGCCCUGCUGAUACCUUGAUUUUGGGUUUCUGUUCUCCAGAACUGUGAGAGAAUAAAUUCCUGUGUUUAAACCAUCACACGAUGGUAGUUUGUUACCACAGUCCUAGGAAAUGAGUGCAGUGACUAAUCAGAUUUGAUUUGAUGGAAGGAGUAAUCUGAAACAUUACUGAAUUUUCCCGAAGAUUAAUACCAGAAGCUGUGUUUGAUUAUUCAGUUUUUGGGUAGACAGAACUUCAAUUUCAUGGUUAAGGAGGCCUCACAGAUCUGCAUGAUGAAUUUGAAGAUUCUGGACUCGUCCCAGAGAGGCAGGAACUUUGUCUUAGUCACUGCUGUUUCCCCAGCAUUUAUAACAGUUAGAACAGAACAUACCUGAAACUCAAUGACUCUUUAAUUAAUGAGCUAAUAAGUAGAAAACAUGCAAAAAUACCAAGUUAUCAAUUUUUAUAACAAUGAAGACACUGA
Molecule: non-coding RNA, 6134 nt
Organism: Sus scrofa (pig)
Lineage: Eukaryota; Metazoa; Chordata; Mammalia; Artiodactyla; Suidae
Source: RefSeq, a predicted model, not a curated record